GAGUUUGAUCCUGGCUCAGAACGAACGCUGGCGGCGUGGAUAAGACAUGCAAGUCGAACGCUGAUCAGGGGGUAGCAAUAUUCCCUGGUCGGAGUGGCGCAAGGGUGCGUAACACGUGGGUAAUCUGCCGUGAAGCCUGGGAUAACUCGCUGAAAGGCGAGCUAAUACCGGAUGUGACUAUUGGGAAGCAUUUUCCGAUAUUCAAAGCUGGGGACCGCAAGGCCUGGCCCUUCACGAUGAGCCCGCGGCCUAUCAGCUAGUUGGUGAGGUAACGGCCCACCAAGGCUAAGACGGGUAGCUGGUCUGAGAGGACGACCAGCCACACUGGAACUGAGACACGGUCCAGACACCUACGGGUGGCAGCAGUCGAGAAUUUUUCACAAUGGGCGCAAGCCUGAUGGAGCGACGCCGCGUGGGGGAUGAAGGGUUUCGAUCCGUAAACCCCUGUCAUUUGCGAACAAACCUCAUGGGAUAACACCUCAUGAGUUGAUUGUAGUGAAAGAGGAAGGGACGGCUAACUCUGUGCCAGCAGCCGCGGUAAUACAGAGGUCCCAAGCGUUGUUCGGAUUCACUGGGCGUAAAGGGUGCGUAGGUGGCCAGGUAAGUUCGGUGUGAAAGCUCGGAGCUCAACUCCGAAAAGGCAUUGAAUACUAUCUGGCUGGAGGGUCGGAGGGGAGACUGGAAUUCUCGGUGUAGCAGUGAAAUGCGUAGAUAUCGAGAGGAACACCAGUGGCGAAGGCGAGUCUC
RNAcentral lists this ribosomal RNA (747 nucleotides) under uncultured bacterium. RNAcentral describes it as "bacterial SSU rRNA". It matches the Rfam family "Bacterial small subunit ribosomal RNA", at positions 9 to 729 of the family's 1533-position model. The record is from RNAcentral.